This 218-nucleotide unclassified non-coding RNA is filed under the name uncultured Thelephoraceae. RNAcentral describes it as "sequence contains ITS2". Lineage: Eukaryota; Fungi; Basidiomycota; Agaricomycetes; Thelephorales; Thelephoraceae. The record is from RNAcentral.
ACAUCUCAACUCUCAUGGUUUGCCAUGAUGAGCUUGGACUUUGGGGGUCUUGCUGGUCUAUGGCCAGCUCCUCUCAAAUGGAUCAGCUUGCCAGUGUUUGGUGGCAUCGCAGGUGUGAUAACUAUCUACGCUUGUGGUUUUCCACCAGAUAACCUUCAGCAAUGGAGGUUCGCUGGAGCUCAUAAAUGUCUUUCCUCAGUGAAGACAGAUCUUUGAUU